Molecule: long non-coding RNA, 2089 nt
Organism: Gallus gallus (chicken)
Lineage: Eukaryota; Metazoa; Chordata; Aves; Galliformes; Phasianidae
Exons: 2
Source: RefSeq, a predicted model, not a curated record
CCCCUCGCGCGCUGCGCCCGCCGCCGGUCGGCUCGUGUGGCGUGAGCGCGGGAGUGUGAGGGCUGACAGGGAGGAGAGGAGGGCGGCAGAGGAGCCGCAGAGCGUCAGCCCGCGGGGCUACGUGUGCUGCGGCCGGCAGGUGUGCCGCACGGACAUGCUGCAGUGCACCGAGAUAGUUUCAGUAGCCGCUGGGGAUGGCGGAGCCAGUGUCCGGGGGGACAGACAGGUACUGCUCGGUGCUGCGCCUCGCGGCCCGGCGCUGCCGUCUGGGAGAGCGUGAAGGGUGAAUGACGCUGGUUUAAGCGUACGGAGAAAUCUUAUUUUCCUCUUAAGUCCACUGAAGUGUCUGAGAGUCGGUGCGCUAAAGCAGCGAGAGUUGCCUUUCUCUUACUGUGGCUUUGAAUUAACGCUUUCUGAACGCAGGUAAGGAUUUCAGAGCCGUGUGAAGAAAAGCCUCCGCCCUCAGACGCACAGAAACGCCCCGCGGCGCGCGGCAGUCGCGGCGCGUAACGGCUCACCGCCUUUAUUUUCAGCGCCGCCGCGCGGGGAGUCGAAGCGUCCCUCAGGAUUCACUGCUACGCGUUUCUGAAGUUUGGCCUCUGUGGUAUCUUCGGCGUUAUUCAAACUGCUUUCUGCUAAGCCCCAAAAAUUCCAGAGCAUUGCCAGCCUUGAGCUUAUCCUGCAAAAACAAAACACCCGUGUAUGUUUGCUGCUCUCGCUCGGGCGGGAAGGCAGACGUCCGAUUCCCGAGGCUUUCAGCCGUGCCUUACAGCGCCCUCGUGAGCCGCGGCACGGACACCGAAUGGCCCUUUCAGCCUUAGCAGCGAUCAGUGCGCUCUCCUGAUCUGGCAGUGCUUUAUCUUUUUUUUUCUUCAGGUCUAAAAUCAGAGACUUCAACAUGAAAAAAAAAAACAACAAACAAACAACCCACCCCACCCACAAACCAAAGCGCAUCCGAAAUCAAAGCAAAAAACCCCACACCCGAAGGGAAAGGUGAUACCUUCAGUUUAUUGUCAAAAUCGUCCAUUGAAUCAAUCAGUUUUCCGGGUUCGAGUUCCCCCAGUGGAAAAGGGUAAUCUGUCCCUAAAAUAACUCUGUCCUGGUAAUAAAGAAACACAUUGUAUGUUUUGUUGUAGCAGGAAACAACACAGUUGCGCGUGCUUUCUGGAAUGUGUAAUGAAUCACAGAGAGAUACAGAUACAAACACGGGAGGGGCUGAUGAACUAUGAAGGUGAAUGCAAAGGUAGUCCCUGCAUUCCAGAAAAAAACCCAGAGCUGCAAAACAGAGCCUCAGAUUUAUUGAGGGAAUUAAAUCCACAAUGACUCACCUGCUUGUGGAAGCAUGAAAACUCACCUCUCCGAUUACACUUGUUAGGAGCCUUAGUGCACCACGAUCAUGGACAAGAGAGUCUGUGUAAAAUGAACCGAGGUAUUUUCUUGGAUCCACCUUAUUGUCCACUGCACACAAAUCGGGGCGCAUGUUGAAUCCGUGGGAGAUUCGCCCCACUGUGUAUGGAAAAGUACCUCCUGCAAGGAGAAAUUUUUAGCAAAAGAAGCUGAAAACGUGUAGGAGGAAGAGCAGAGAGAUACCUAAGUUUUAUUACUGACUAACUAGAGAAGAAGGGCUCUGCAACAGCACUUUUUUAUUCAUUCCCUUUCAUUACCUUCUUUCUCUGUUUUCCCACUUCUUCACUCCAGCAACACCCAGAUUCUUACUGCUCCCUACCCAUAAACUGCCUCCUGUCUCCCUUUACUUCUCAUGUUCCUUAAAGGCUGUCAUAGCAGUUCAAACACAGGCUGAAAUAUGAUAGAAAAUGUUUGUAUGAGCAACCUAACUGGCAGAUAUCCUCACUGUGUAAUAGUACUCAGUGAGGGGCAGGCUUAAAGUAGUAACGCCAUUAUCUGCUGUACCAGAAAAUACAGUUAUACUCUGCUCAAUUAAAGAACAAGUGUAUUGCUUACCUCCAUGAGCAAAGCAAACUUUCAGCUUAGGAAAUUUUUCAAAAAUUCCUCCCAUAAUCAUGGAGCAAAUGGCUGUGGUUGUUUCUGCUGGCAUGCCUAGGAAUAAAAAAAAGCUUUAUCAAGCCAA